Molecule: ribosomal RNA, 395 nt
Filed under: Calocybe sp. BAB-3671
Lineage: Eukaryota; Fungi; Basidiomycota; Agaricomycetes; Agaricales; Lyophyllaceae
Description: eukaryotic LSU rRNA
Rfam family: 5.8S ribosomal RNA (bases 1-109)
Source: RNAcentral
UUAUUAUAUGCGAUACUUGGUGUGAAGAGCAGAAUUCAGAGAAUCAUCGUAUCUUUGAACGCACCUUGCGCUCCUUGGUAUUGCGAGGAGCAUGCCUGUUUGAGUGUCAUGAAAUUCUCAACCUUUGUUACUUUUUUUGUUUCAAAGAGUCUGGAUGUGGAGGUUGCUGGCUUUUGUUGAAGGAGUCCGGUCCCCUCUGAAAUACAUUAAGUGGGACCCAUCGUUGAUGUAAUGACUUCCCUGGUGUGAUAGUUAUCUACCCCGUGGCUCAUCUCUAUAUUGAUGUGGUUCAGCUUUCUAACGAGACAACAAGACACUGUCUUUGAUUAUUUUGACCUCAAAUCAGGUAGGACUACCCGCUCAACUUAAGCAUAUCAAUAAGCGGAGGAAAAGAA